Bicyclus anynana (squinting bush brown) is the source of this 2508-nucleotide long non-coding RNA. RefSeq lists it as uncharacterized. The transcript is spliced from 5 exons. NCBI's taxonomy places the organism in Eukaryota, Metazoa, Arthropoda, Insecta, Lepidoptera, Nymphalidae. The record is from RefSeq and is a predicted model, not a curated record.
AACAAUACACAUCACUAUCUAGCCCCAAAGUAAGCAUACAGAGAAGCUUGUGUAAUGGGUACCAAGACAGUUGAUAUUAUAAUAUUCAUAUAAUAUAAUUACACAAAAAGGUAUUUUUACGGAGCUCUUUAACCGACGAACACGAUUACAACUAUUUAACAUCGAUUCUAUAGAGACAGUUUUUAUAAUCGCAUUAGAUCGUUGAUCAUAUACUUUGACAGAAAAGUAACGUCUAGCGAGGCAGGUCCUAUAGAAUAAUUGGUCUGAGUAAUUCAAUGUACUCUAUGGGUAGAUUCUGUAAAAAAAAAAAUAUGAGCACUUGAUCAAUAUUUUGACGUUUGUUUGGUUGUGUGCAUGUGGUCUGUGACAAAAGCAGUAAAUAUAAUAUGUUCCUUGGACAAAAGUCAAAUGAAGAUCAACGGGAACCACGCGGCAUCAGCUAUUAACUCGUAUUUGUAACAGAGCUGUACGAGAUCUCCAGCUGAGAGAAGAGAGAGCUGUUCUCGCAGAGAGAGAGAAACAGCUCCAAACUUCAGUUCCUGCGGAACCAGAGGGAGGUGCAGUGCUUGAAGCAUUGCAACCCACCACCCCGGUGGGGCAUAAACAUCCCGGAUCAGACCAAUUGCUCCUGGGAGCCCGGGCUGUUAAAAGGCCAAAAAGGACAUCUAUAGACCGGGAGCAGUGGCCUGAACCAACCCCCUCCACUUACGCAGCUGCUGAUGCAAUACAAGCAGAUCUUUGGGUAUCCAGCCCUGAGGCGAGUCCGGGGCCAUCUACGGUGGUGAUGAGCCCAUUAACGACUGGGUCUUGGACUCCGAAGAGGAAUGGGAUGAUGGCCCAGAAUGUUUUUUUUAAUUAUUUUUCUAUUUUAUUACUAGUUUUUCUUGGGGGUUUUUGUUUUUUAAAGUAUUUUAUUAUUUAUUAUUUAGUUUUCUCAACAUUUCUCUUCACUGCUCUGCUCCUAUUGAUCGUAGCGUAAUGAAAAGUAUACUAUAACCUGCCCAGGAGUAUGACGAAUAAUUGUACCAAGUUUCGUUAAAAUCCGUCCAGUAGUUUUUGUUUCUAUAAAGAACAUACAGACAGACAAAAAUUUUACUGAUUGCAUUUUUGGCAUCAGUAUCGAUCACUAAUCACCCCCUGAUAGUUAUUUUGGAAAUAUAUUUCAUGUACAGAAUUGACCUCUCUACAGAUUUAUUAUAAGUAUAGAUAUAGAUAAAUUAUCAAUAAUAUAUAUUUUUUAAUUUUUUAUAUUAUACUUAUAUUUAUUUAUAUUUUUGUAUAUAUUUUAUUUUUAUUAGUUUUUCUCAGGGGUUUUGUUUUUUUUUAUUUAAUUAAUUAAAUACUACAGUACCUGAAGUUGGAUGUGAGAUUUUUCUUAAUACUUUUUUGUUAUAAUUUGUUCGUUGGAUCUUUUUAACUACAUCAAAUUUUUUUUUUUUUUUUUUUAUUUUUUUAUUUUUUUUUUUCGGGGGGGAAAUCUCUUUGUGAGAUACCCGACUUAUUGGGGGACAAGACGGGUUAUGUGGGACUUACCACUAAAACCCCCUCGGUGGCCACCCUCAGUGCAUAUUGGGAUGCUCCGGGAUCUCUUUUGAAUUCGCCGGUGCAUCCGUUGCACUACGCCUCUAGUGCUCGUCUAACAGUAUAUAUAUUUUUUUAUGAUGUCAUACCACGCAUAGCAGCUUGUGCCACUCUAAGCUGCUAUCUUCCAGUGUCGACUUUAACUACAUCCUAUUAUUGUAAUGUUUUAGUAAUAGCUGGUAACGACUAACUGAAGAUGUGUACUUACUUACUUUUAAAAUUACUUGUAUUAAUUUAUCUUGUACUAUUCAAUUGAACUUUAAUAAAUAUUAUUCUCAGUCGUACAUUUUAUAUUUAUGUAAUUAAUUUUUAGAUCUAAGGUUUUUUUUGUGAAUAGUUUUUAACAACAGAUUAGUUUAAGUAAAAAAUAAUUAAUUUAUAUAAAUACAGUACCUGGAGUUGGUAGUGAUUAUUUUUAUUGCACUAUACAAUAAUUGUAUACUUAGUUUUAGAUAAGUUAGUGUAGUAAGUAUAUAAUAAGUUAGUAUUAGUUAGUUAAAAUGGCUAACUACUUUUUUUUUGACUAAAAAAAAAAAAAAAGUAGUUAGCCAUUUUAGUUAAAAUGGAGAGCAGUGAUAGCUCAGUGGAUAUGACCUCUGCCUCCAAUUCCGGAGGGUGUGGGUUCGAAUCCUGUCCGGGGCAUGCACCUCCAACUUUUCAGUUGUGUGCAUUUUAAGAAAUUGAAAAUCACCUGCAUACCAGAAAAUUUUCUUGAUUCUCUGCGUGUCAUGUCAUGAAGUCUGGCAAUCCGCAUUGGGCCAGCGUGGUGGACUAUUGGCCUAACCCCUCUCAUUCUGAGAGGAGACUCGAGCUCAGCAGUGAGCCGAAUAUGGGUUGAUGACGAGUUAAAAUGGUGGUAAAGAAAAAACCACCUUGGCUGAGUUUAAAGUUUUCUACUUACCACCAAUAAAUCAUGACAUAACUUGA